This 253-nucleotide ribosomal RNA is filed under the name uncultured bacterium. RNAcentral's name for it is "partial 16S ribosomal RNA". It matches the Rfam family "Bacterial small subunit ribosomal RNA", at positions 524 to 776 of the family's 1533-position model. The record is from RNAcentral.
UACGUAGGGCGCAAGCGUUGUCCGGAAUUAUUGGGCGUAAAGAGCUCGUAGGCGGUCUGUCGCGUCGGCUGUGAAAACUCGGGGCUCAACUCCGAGCUUGCAGUCGAUACGGGCAGGCUAGAGUUCGGCAGGGGAGACUGGAAUUCCUGGUGUAGCGGUGAAAUGCGCAGAUAUCAGGAGGAACACCGGUGGCGAAGGCGGGUCUCUGGGCCGAUACUGACGCUGAGGAGCGAAAGCGUGGGGAGCGAACAGG